AGUGAACGCUGGCGGUAGGCCUAACACAUGCAAGUCGAACGGCAGCACAGGAGAGCUUGCUCUCUAGGUGGCGAGUGGCGGACGGGUGAGGAAUACAUCGGAAUCUGCCCAGUCGUGGGGGAUAACGUAGGGAAACUUACGCUAAUACCGCAUACGACCUUCGGGUGAAAGAGGGGGAUCGCAAGACCUCUCGCGAUUGGAUGAGCCGAUGUCGGAUUAGCUAGUUAGCGGGGUAAUGGCCCACCAAGGCGACGAUCCGUAGCUGGUCUGAGAGGAUGAUCAGCCACACUGGAACUGAGACACGGUCCAGACUCCUACGGGAGGCAGCAGUGGGGAAUAUUGGACAAUGGGCGCAAGCCUGAUCCAGCCAUACCGCGUGGGUGAAGAAGGCCUUCGGGUUGUAAAGCCCUUUUGUUGGGAAAGAAAUCUUUCAGGCUAAUACCCUGGGAGGAUGACGGUACCCAAAGAACAAGCACCGGCUAACUUCGUG
This 490-nucleotide ribosomal RNA is filed under the name uncultured bacterium. RNAcentral describes it as "partial 16S ribosomal RNA". It matches the Rfam family "Bacterial small subunit ribosomal RNA", at positions 29 to 507 of the family's 1533-position model. The record is from RNAcentral.